GGGUUGUGAGGUUAAGCGACUAAGCGUACACGGUGGAUGCCCUGGCAGUCAGAGGCGAUGAAGGGCGUGCUAAUCUGCGAUAAGCGCCGGUAAGGUGAUAUGAACCGUUAUAACCGGCGAUACCCGAAUGGGGAAACCCAGUGUGAUUCGUCACACUAUCAUUAACUGAAUCCAUAGGUUAAUGAGGCGAACCGGGGGAACUGAAACAUCUAAGUACCCCGAGGAAAAGAAAUCAACCGAGAUUCCCCCAGUAGCGGCGAGCGAACGGGGAGGAGCCCAGAGCCUGAAUCAGCAUGUGUGUUAGUGGAAGCGUCUGGAAAGGCGCGCGAUACAGGGUGACAGCCCCGUACACAAAAGCGCAUGUGCUGUGAGCUCGAUGAGUAGGGCGGGACACGUGGUAUCCUGUCUGAAUAUGGGGGGACCAUCCUCCAAGGCUAAAUACUCCUGACUGACCGAUAGUGAACCAGUACCGUGAGGGAAAGGCGAAAAGAACCCCGGCGAGGGGAGUGAAAAAGAACCUGAAACCGUGUACGUACAAGCAGUGGGAGCACAGGUUUACCUGUGAGACUGCGUACCAUUUGUAUAAUGGGUCAGCGACUUAUAAUCUGU
RNAcentral lists this ribosomal RNA (609 nucleotides) under Salmonella enterica subsp. enterica serovar Anatum. RNAcentral's name for it is "bacterial LSU rRNA". It matches the Rfam family "Bacterial large subunit ribosomal RNA", at positions 1 to 638 of the family's 2925-position model. Lineage: Bacteria; Pseudomonadati; Pseudomonadota; Gammaproteobacteria; Enterobacterales; Enterobacteriaceae. The record is from RNAcentral.